AUUGAACGCUGGCGGCAGGCUUAACACAUGCAAGUCGAGCGGGGUGAUGGUGCUUGCACUAUCACUUAGCGGCGGACGGGUGAGUAAUGCUUAGGAAUCUGCCUAUUAGUGGGGGACAACAUCUCGAAAGGGAUGCUAAUACCGCAUACGUCCUACGGGAGAAAGCAGGGGAUCACUUGUGACCUUGCGCUAAUAGAUGAGCCUAAGUCGGAUUAGGUAGUUGGUGGGGUAAAGGCCUACCAAGGCGACGAUCUGUAGCGGGUCUGAGAGGAUGAUCCGCCACACUGGGACUGAGACACGGCCCAGACUCCUACGGGAGGCAGCAGUGGGGAAUAUUGGACAAUGGGGGGAACCCUGAUCCAGCCAUGCCGCGUGUGUGAAGAAGGCCUUAUGGUUGUAAAGCACUUUAAGCGAGGAGGAGGCUCUUUUGGUUAAUACCCAAGACGAGUGGACGUUACUCGCAGAAUAAGCACCGGCUAACUCUGUGCCAGCAGCCGCAGUAA
This 503-nucleotide ribosomal RNA is filed under the name uncultured bacterium. RNAcentral describes it as "partial 16S ribosomal RNA". It matches the Rfam family "Bacterial small subunit ribosomal RNA", at positions 30 to 523 of the family's 1533-position model. The record is from RNAcentral.